AGGAGUAGUUUAAUUAGAAUUUCGGCUUUGGGGGCCGAAGUGUAAAGUUUUAUUUGCCUCCUUGACUUAAGUGGGUGU
This is a non-coding RNA of Alligator sinensis (Chinese alligator), 78 nucleotides long. NCBI's taxonomy places the organism in Eukaryota, Metazoa, Chordata, Crocodylia, Alligatoridae. The record is from the annotation of a RefSeq genome assembly.